This is a long non-coding RNA of Xyrauchen texanus (razorback sucker), 458 nucleotides long. RefSeq lists it as uncharacterized. Lineage: Eukaryota; Metazoa; Chordata; Actinopteri; Cypriniformes; Catostomidae. The record is from RefSeq and is a predicted model, not a curated record. The transcript has 3 exons.
AGAAGCAGAGGGGGCUGUGGACGGUGGUGGUCCAACUAGAGAGUACCUCAGACUGCUCCUUAAGGCUGUCCAACAGUCUAGCAUAUUUGCGGGCCCUGAAAAUAGUACGAGGUUGCGGCUUGACAGUGAAGCUUUGCAUAAAGGUCUCUACAGGCAGAUAUCUCAGAUGAUAUCAGUUUGUAUAAUUCAUGGAGGAAUGGGGCCACAUUUCUUUUCAGAAAAGCUCUUUCUCCAGGUUUGUGGUAAACCCAGCGGUCCUGCUACCUUGGAUGAAGUAGAUGAUGAGACCUUUAAAGAAAUGCUUUGCAAAAUAAAAGAAGCUGAAACUGUUCCAGACGCCAAAGCUGCCAUUGAAAUGGCAGAAGAUUGCCUGUCCAUAAUUUGAGCCUUUAGAUCCAUUAGUACUCUUAAGCAGCGGGACAUGCUGGUACAGUCAGCUGUGGAGUAUUAUGUUGAUG